RNAcentral lists this transfer RNA (75 nucleotides) under Candidatus Woesearchaeota archaeon. Its description in RNAcentral is "tRNA-Met". It matches the Rfam family "tRNA". From Rfam's summary of the family: Transfer RNA (tRNA) molecules are approximately 80 nucleotides in length. Their secondary structure includes four short double-helical elements and three loops (D, anti-codon, and T loops). Lineage: Archaea; Nanobdellati; Candidatus Woesearchaeota. The record is from RNAcentral.
GCCCAUGUAGCAUAGCCUGGCUAUUGCGUCGGUCUCAUAAGCCGAAGGUCACGUGUUCAAAUCACGUCAUGGGCA